CCUACGGGAGGUAGCAGUAGGGAAUCUUCCACAAUGGACGAAAGUCUGAUGGAGCAACGCCGCGUGAGUGAAGAAGGGUUUCGGCUCGUAAAGCUCUGUUGGGAGUGAAGAAAGAUAGAGGUAGUAACUGGCCUUUAUUUGACGGUAAUUACUUAGAAAGCCACGGCUAACUACGUGCCAGCAGCCGCGGUAAUACGUAGGUGGCAAGCGUUAUCCGGAUUUAUUGGGCGUAAAGGGAACGCAGGCGGGCUUUUUAGUCUGAUGUGAAAGGCUUCGGCUUAACCGG
Molecule: ribosomal RNA, 286 nt
Filed under: uncultured bacterium
Lineage: Bacteria
Description: partial 16S ribosomal RNA
Rfam family: Bacterial small subunit ribosomal RNA
Source: RNAcentral